GGGUGAGUAACACGUGGACAACCUGCCCUUAAGUCUGGGACAACUCUGUGAAAACAGAGCUUAAUACCGGAUAACAACUACUAUUAGGUUAAUGUUUAAAAGAUUUAUUGCUUUUGGAGGGGUCUGCGGUAUAUUAGCUAGUUGGUGGGGUAACGGCUCACCAAGGCGACGAUGUAUAGCAGGUCUGAGAGGAUGAUCUGCCACACUGGAACUUUAGACACGGUCCAGACUCCUACGGGAGGCAGCAGUGGGGAAUCUUGCGCAAUUGGGCGAAAGCCUGACGCAGCGAUACCGCGUGAGUGAAAGAAGGCCCUUGGGCUGUAAAACUCUUUGUUGGGGAAAAUAAUGAUGGUACCCAGGCGAAUAAGCACCGGCUAACUCCGUG
Molecule: ribosomal RNA, 385 nt
Filed under: uncultured bacterium
Lineage: Bacteria
Description: bacterial SSU rRNA
Rfam family: Bacterial small subunit ribosomal RNA
Source: RNAcentral